UAGAGGGUCGUGCUACAAGUGUGGAAAGCCGGGUCACUACAAACCGGACUGUCCGAUGAAUAAAAAGACAAAAGAAAAAGAUUCAUACAAAUCGCAUAAGAAACCAUCAAAGCCAAGGAGGGCAUACAUUGCUUGGGAAAGCGAUAGCGACUCCUCCGAUGAUGAAAGCUCAAGUGAUGAAGAUGAAAAUGCAAAUCUAUGUCUCUCUGCUCAUCAAAAGAAUAAG
Molecule: long non-coding RNA, 226 nt
Filed under: Lathyrus oleraceus (garden pea)
Lineage: Eukaryota; Viridiplantae; Streptophyta; Magnoliopsida; Fabales; Fabaceae
Description: Pisum sativum (pea) long non-coding RNA (PSAT_LNC007742)
Source: RNAcentral